Molecule: long non-coding RNA, 808 nt
Organism: Cyprinus carpio carpio
Lineage: Eukaryota; Metazoa; Chordata; Actinopteri; Cypriniformes; Cyprinidae
Source: Ensembl
CAGUUCUACCAGAAAGACUCAGGGAGGUAGAGAUAAGACUGAAGUAUUUAUUUACAACAACACAAAAAAUAUAAUUAUUUUGGCGUAGGCCCCAUCCGUAGCGUGGAUCUGAAGUUUGUAGAUACCAGCUAAUCCUGCCGAAGACGAAGGCAGGGCGGAGCCUACCCCAAAAGAAAGAAGAAUAAUGUAAUACGCACCAGAUGAAGUAUUUCUUAGAGGAUCCUGGAACAUGAACGAAAGAGAUAAAUUGAGAUAAUUAGCCAGACAUAAAAAUACAACAUCAGAUUAUAGCUAAAGUAUUAGCUUAUAUGGCAAUGAAGAUAGACCACAGAGCCUUUGAGAGAGGCCACGAUAGGCCGGACAGUGAGAGAGAGAGGCAGGCCACGAUAGGCCGGACAGUGAGGCAGAGAGACAGGCCACGAUAGGCCGGACAGUGAGGCAGAUAGACAGGCCACGAUAGGCCGGACAGUGAGGCAGAGAGACAGGCCACGAUAGGCCGGACAGUGAGGCAGAGAGGCAGGCCACGAUAGGCCGGACAGUGAGGCAGAGAGGCAGGCCACGAUAGGCCGGACAGUGAGGCAGAGAGGCAGGCCACGAUAGGCCGGACAGUGGGAACGGCCCCGGCGGGCCACAGUGGGAACGGCCCCGGCGGGCCACAGUGGGAACGGCCCCGGCGGGCCACAAAAAGAAAGCCACGAAGGCCGCAGAGAAAAGGCCUAGCUAGCCCGCAGAGGAGGAUGUCCAAAUUGACCAUAGUGAGAAAGCCAAGAGGCCGUAGAAUGAAGUGAAAUGCAGUAUGCACAGAGAG